AGGCCAAUAUUAUGCAUAAGGGAUCAUUCCUAAAGUUUGUUACUAGGGAAGUUUCUCAUAGAGUACUGGAAACGAUGCAGAGAUAAAGCCCUCUCUUCUGAGAAUGAAGCUGACUCUUGGUAUUGCUUGGUUGCAAAUACCAUUUGACAUUGACGGUCAUUCUUCUCUUUCCUUUACAAGUAAGAGGGAGAUAAUACUUUCUGAGUGGU
This 209-nucleotide small nucleolar RNA is filed under the name Sciurus vulgaris (Eurasian red squirrel). RNAcentral's name for it is "Small nucleolar RNA U3 (ENSSVLG00005005073.1)". It matches the Rfam family "Small nucleolar RNA U3". From Rfam's summary of the family: Small nucleolar RNAs (snoRNAs) are involved in the processing and modification of rRNA in the nucleolus. Lineage: Eukaryota; Metazoa; Chordata; Mammalia; Rodentia; Sciuridae. The record is from Rfam by way of RNAcentral.